AUAACAAUACGCACAUUAAAAUUCAGUUCAAGAGAAAUCCGAGUCUGAUGUCAGAAGAUGUAACCAAAGAAAAUAAACAAAAUUACAAUAAUACAUAAAUAACAACAGACUACUAGCAGUUAACUGACAUGCCAGCUCCAGACUUCAAUUAAACUGACUGAAAGAUUAUGAUUUCAUCAUAUGAACAUCAGGCACAAUCCGUCCCGUUAGGGGUUUAGUAUCAUACCAUCAUAACAUAUGAGAAGAACAUAACCCGUGUCAUGCCAACAACUGUUUUUAGAAUAAAUGUGUUUAGUUCCGAUGCAAAGACCUUAUCAGUGACUCAAUAUUAACGCC
Molecule: long non-coding RNA, 336 nt
Filed under: Mytilus galloprovincialis (Mediterranean mussel)
Lineage: Eukaryota; Metazoa; Mollusca; Bivalvia; Mytilida; Mytilidae
Source: RNAcentral